RNAcentral lists this long non-coding RNA (276 nucleotides) under Lathyrus oleraceus (garden pea). Its description in RNAcentral is "Pisum sativum (pea) long non-coding RNA (PSAT_LNC035584)". Lineage: Eukaryota; Viridiplantae; Streptophyta; Magnoliopsida; Fabales; Fabaceae. The record is from RNAcentral.
AAAUUCAUACACAUUCUGAUUUGUUACAUCAAUAAACAAAUCAGAAUGAAACCAACACAAUAAGACAAUAUCAAAGAACAUCCAUUCAUUACAAAGAAGCACUAUCAGUAGAAGAUUAACAAUACAUUAAUUUUUAGUCACGAUGUACCAGACUUGUUUUCCACUGCAUGAGUAAACAAAACCUUUAUUUUUUUCUGAAGUUAAUCAUGCACCUUAUCAGGACUGUUCCAAAUAUUUUCCACCUCACUGAAGAUUAUGUGCAUUGCUAAUGCUAAG